GACGAACGCUGGCGGCAUGCCUAAUACAUGCAAGUCGAGCGAACAGAUGAAGUGCUUGCACUUCUGACGUUAGCGGCGAACGGGUGAGUAACACGUAAGGAAUCUACCUAUAAGCGGGGGAUAACAUUCGGAAACGGGUGCUAAUACCGCAUAAUAUCUUCUUCCGCAUGGAAGAAGAUUGAAAGACGGCUCUGCUGUCACUUAUAGAUGACCUUGCGGUGCAUUAGUUAGUUGGUGGGGUAACGGCCUACCAAGACGAUGAUGCAUAGUCGACCGGAGCGGGUGAUCGGCAACAGUGGGACUGAGACACGGCCCAAACUCCUACGGGAGGCAGCAGUAGGUAAUCUUCCGCAAGGGGCGAAAGCCUGACGGAGCAAUGCCGCGUGAGUGGAGAAGGCCUUCGGGUCGUAAAACUCUGUUAUAAGAGAAGAACAAAUUGUAGAGUAACUGCUACAGUCUUGACGGUAUCUUAUCAGAAAGCCACAGCUAACUACGUGCCAGCAGCCGCCGUAA
This 513-nucleotide ribosomal RNA is filed under the name uncultured bacterium. RNAcentral's name for it is "partial 16S ribosomal RNA". It matches the Rfam family "Bacterial small subunit ribosomal RNA", at positions 28 to 523 of the family's 1533-position model. The record is from RNAcentral.